This 117-nucleotide ribosomal RNA is filed under the name Deltaproteobacteria bacterium. Lineage: Bacteria; Pseudomonadati; Myxococcota; Myxococcia. The record is from RNAcentral.
UUCGGUGGCUAUAGCGAGGAGGCAACACCCGUUCUCAUCCCGAACACGGAAGUUAAGUUCUUUUGCGCCGAUGGUACUGCUCGGGAAUCUGAGUGGGAGAGUAGGGCGUUGCCGAAA